Vicia faba (fava bean) is the source of this 255-nucleotide non-coding RNA. NCBI's taxonomy places the organism in Eukaryota, Viridiplantae, Streptophyta, Magnoliopsida, Fabales, Fabaceae. The record is from the annotation of a GenBank genome assembly.
AUGAGGAAAUAUCAUGAAUUCACUAAUAUAUCUCCAUGUGCUGUUCUUUAUGUCAUUGGUCCACCUUAUUCAAAAGAAUAUGGUCGAUACUGUUCAUAUUACAAAUAUUUCCCUCGCAUAUUUUUUUCAAUUUGCUAUUUUUCGAUUUGGUAUCGGUGUAUGUAUCUAUUGUUUUCAGUUAGAUUUUUAUCUUUUAUGGCUGGUGGAAUUCUUGUUUCUGUUUCUGUUUGCACCUCUAGUGCUUUAUUUGAAUAA